RNAcentral lists this ribosomal RNA (1248 nucleotides) under Ramichloridium sp. INBio_4511I. RNAcentral describes it as "eukaryotic LSU rRNA". The stretch from base 345 to 1248 matches the Rfam family "Eukaryotic large subunit ribosomal RNA", at positions 1 to 921 of the family's 3401-position model. The record is from RNAcentral. Lineage: Eukaryota; Fungi; Ascomycota; Dothideomycetes; Mycosphaerellales; Dissoconiaceae.
AAAACUUUCAACAACGGAUCUCUUGGUUCUGGCAUCGAUGAAGAACGCAGCGAAAUGCGAUAAGUAAUGCGAAUUGCAGAAUUCUAGUGAGUCAUCGAAUCUUUGAACGCACAUUGCGCCCUUUGGUAUUCCGAAGGGCAUGCCUGUUCGAGCGUCAUUAUCAACCCUCAAGCCCCGGGCUUGGUGUUGGGACGGCCGGUCUCCGCCCGCGGAGGCCCCCCCCAAAGUGAAUGACGGCGGCCUGUUAACCCCCGGUACAUGGAGCUUGGUCACGAGCACGUAUCGGUCUUUAAGUGGUGAAUAGGCCCUCGGUCUCCUCCCCCUAGGGGAACUCUCUUCAAGGUUGACCUCGGAUCAGGUAGGGAUACCCGCUGAACUUAAGCAUAUCAAUAAGCGGAGGAAAAGAAACCAACAGGGAUUGCCUCAGUAACGGCGAGUGAAGCGGCAACAGCUCAAAUUUGAAAUCUGGCCCCCUCGGGGUCCGAGUUGUAAUUUGCAGAGGAUGUUUCGGGUACCGCUCCGGUUUAAAUUUCUUGGAACAGAAUGUCAGAGAGGGUGAGAAUCCCGUCUUGGACCGGUGGUAGGGCCCGUGUGAAACUCCUUCGACGAGUCGAGUUGUUUGGGAAUGCAGCUCAAAAUGGGUGGUAAAUUUCAUCUAAAGCUAAAUAUUGGCCAGAGACCGAUAGCGCACAAGUAGAGUGAUCGAAAGAUGAAAAGCACUUUGAAAAGAGAGUUAAACAGUAUGUGAAAUUGUUGAAAGGGAAGCGCUUGCAACCAGACUUGUGCGCGGCGGUUCCCCCUUCCUUUUGGUUGGGUUACUCCGCCGCGUCCAGGCCAACAUCGGUUCUGGGGGUCGGUCAAAGGCCUUGGGAAUGUACCUACCCUUCGGGCGUAGACUUAUAGCCCUCGGUGUCAUGCGGCCUCCCGGGACCGAGGAACGCGCUUCGGCUCGGAUGUUGGCGUAAUGGUUGUCAGCGACCCGUCUUGAAACACGGACCAAGGAGUCUAACAUCUAUGCGAGUGUUUGGGUGUCAAACCCGGAACGCGGAAUGAAAGUGAACGGAGGUAGGAAGCUUCGGCUGCACUAUCGACCGAUCCUGAUGUCUUCGGAUGGAUUUGAGUAAGAGCAUAAAUGUUGGGACCCGAAAGAUGGUGAACUAUGCCUGAAUAGGGUGAAGCCAGAGGAAACUCUGGUGGAGGCUCGCAGCGGUUCUGACGUGCAAAUCGAUCGUCAAAUUUAGGUAUAGG